GGCGUUAUGGCAGAGUGGUCUAAUGCGUGUGACUAGAAAUCACAUCCCUUCGGGGGCGGCGGUUCGAAUCCGCCUGACGUCG
This is a non-coding RNA of Myotisia sp. PD_48, 82 nucleotides long. The record is from the annotation of a GenBank genome assembly. Lineage: Eukaryota; Fungi; Ascomycota; Eurotiomycetes; Onygenales.